AAGCAUCUAAGCAUGAAGCCCCCCUCAAGAUGAGAUUUCCCAACUUCGGUUAUAAGAUCCCUCAAAGAUGAUGAGGUUAAUAGGUUCGAGGUGGAAGCGUAGCGAUACGUGGAGCUGACGAAUACUAAUCGAUCGAAGACUUAAUCAAUUU
RNAcentral lists this ribosomal RNA (151 nucleotides) under Staphylococcus hyicus. RNAcentral describes it as "partial 23S ribosomal RNA". It matches the Rfam family "Bacterial large subunit ribosomal RNA", at positions 2775 to 2925 of the family's 2925-position model. The record is from RNAcentral. Lineage: Bacteria; Bacillati; Bacillota; Bacilli; Caryophanales; Staphylococcaceae.